Molecule: microRNA precursor, 67 nt
Organism: Cercocebus atys (sooty mangabey)
Lineage: Eukaryota; Metazoa; Chordata; Mammalia; Primates; Cercopithecidae
Source: Ensembl
UGGGGCUGUGUGCAGGGCCAGCGCGGAGCCCGAGCAGCCGCGGUGAAGCGCCUGUGCUCCGCCGAGA